RNAcentral lists this long non-coding RNA (993 nucleotides) under Rattus norvegicus (Norway rat). RNAcentral describes it as "long non-coding RNA NONRATT025665". Lineage: Eukaryota; Metazoa; Chordata; Mammalia; Rodentia; Muridae. The record is from RNAcentral.
CCUGCGGAAUAGGGUGGGGACUUAAUACACCAUACCGCAACACCCAGGGGCUCAACGGUCUGUCGCGCUGCUGCCCACAGGAUUGCUUAAGAGAGCAGACUAUGUGACCUUUUCCCCAAGAGCAUCACGGUACACAGAACACAAGGCUAAGAGGACUGCCAUUCUCAGUUCCACUGAGGUCUAUUGCAGAGGUGAUAGAAUCACAUUUUAGAAGCUACAGAGAAGUCCUUAUUAGACUGACUGAAGCCCUGGACAAGGAAUCUCUCAGGAAAGACUGUAAGCUGAUAGGCACCUGCUCAUGGGAGCGCUCACGGCUGCCUUGCCAUGGACAUGACCUCUGACCUUCUGGCAUUUUGCAAAAUGAGACUCCAACUGAGCUGUUCUAACUGGUACCUGAGCUACAGCAGACCUGCCCUGACCCUCAAGGAGCCCGGGGCUGUUUGGGACUCGCUUAGAGAUGACAUGUUUACAGUUUCACUUCACAGACAGGAUUUGGAUGCAAUUCCCAUGUGCAGCUCUGCUCUGUGUAAAGACUCACAACAAGGAAGUGAGAAUUGUACAAAAAUAUGUAAAAUAUGAUAGUAAAAUAUGAAUAGCUGACGAGAAUGGCACAUAGGGCAUGACUGCCAUGAGAUUGAGUCUAACCUAGGCUACACAUCAAGUAUCAGUCCAUCCAGGGCUAAACAGCAAGACCUUACCUCAGAAACAAUGAAGUAUUAAAUUAUCGAUAAGCAGUAGGGUUGUAAGUUUUUCUUCUGCUUAUGUACCUCAGAAUUCAGCAACUCUACAGUGUGUUUUAGUUUUAUGGAGUUAUUUUGAAAAUCUGACAUAUUUAAACAUUCUCAUUUUCCCUUUGUAAGUCAUACUUCUACCUAAACCCAGAAUUUGGAGUUUGUUUAGCAGAAAGAAAAAAAAACAUUUUUCUUUAAUGCAUGUGGGCUGUACAAGAAAAUAGAAAGGUUAAUUACAAGCAAUAAAGGUUCAUUACCCAUC